Molecule: long non-coding RNA, 15931 nt
Filed under: Lynx pardinus (Iberian lynx)
Lineage: Eukaryota; Metazoa; Chordata; Mammalia; Carnivora; Felidae
Source: RNAcentral
CACUUUCUGUUUUAAUUUCAGUGGGUGUUGCUAUGCUUUCCUCUGUACAAGCUGGUGGGGUAUCAAUUCGUUCUUCCUUAACUUUGGGACUUUCACAGGGUUCCUGCAAUUCAUUUUUGACAAUGUUCAACAUAAUGUUCAAAGGGUUUUCAACUGGUGUCUUGCUGGGAGAUGGUGUACAAUCAAAUGAAGAUGUCUACAAAAUGAAAAGCCCUGUGAGUUCUAAUUCAAGUUCAAAAGUACCACAUUAGUUUUAUUUAUAAGACCUUUGUGUGGACAAAGAAACAUACACAUAACAAAUAAAUAAUACCUGCUUCCCCAUACAUUAUAAAAGCAGGCAAAUAAAUAUACUGAGCGUUUAAUACAUCCUCAGCAGUGAUCUGAGCUAAGAAAAGCAGUAACCACUGUCAGGCCAAAAAAAGUUGAUUAGAUAUACUUCUAUAUUUAACCCCACAGAGAUAGUAACCCCUACAUAUACUAUGGAAUUGUGACUAUCGUAAUUUCAAAUACUCUGACCUCACAAACCAUCAAAUGUCCUAGAAUGUCUACUCUCUUUUGAUUACCUAAAUGUAUCUUCCAAACUGCCUUUUUAAUUUUUAUUUAUUUUUUUAGUUUUUUUUAAGUUUAUUUGUUUUGAGAGAGAAUAAGCAGGGGAGGGGCAGAGAGAAGAAGAGAGAAUUUCCCAAGCAGACUCCACACUGGCAGCACAGAGCCUGAAGUGGGGCUCAAACCUAUGAACUGCAAGAUUACCUGAGCCAAAAUCAAGAGUCUAACGCUUAACUGACUGAGCCACACAGGUGCCCCUCAAACUCCCUCUUGAACCAGUUAGUGUUUAUUGUUUGGUUUUAAGAAAUGGUUACUCUCAAAUAUGAAAAUUUGAACUUCUGAAGUCAAGACAGGUCUUUCAGAUUUCACAUUUCACAUGUGAGCACUUUAAAAUUAUUCCUAUGCUAUAAUAUGCUAAGUUUAAAAAAAAAAAAAGGGCCGUAAACACUACCCAUAACUCUAGAAAUCUGUUCACAUUAUGAUCAUCCUCUUCAGUUUCCCUCACAUUUCUCUGGGCCUACUGUUUUAGUAAAAAACAUCAAGACUCAAGUGAAUAGAAUGCAAGGAAUACAGAAAUUUCAAAAUCUAAAUCAGAUCCUAUCAAUCUAGCACCAAUAUUUAGUGAACAACCUAAAUGCUACAUCAAAACACAAAACAGCUCAAUAAAAUUAAACAAUAUUGCUCUGAUGCAAAAAAAAAAAAAAACUGAAAAUAGAAUUUAUUAAUGUACAUGAGAAAAAACAGUAAUCAAAAAGAACUUACAUUUUGAUAAUCCUCGUAACAUGAUGGAUGAUAAAUCUGAAGCAAAAAGAAAAACAGUAAGUAGGUAUUCACAUGUGUGUUCAUUUCCAAUAGACUAUUCUGAUAGGAUUGUCUUUUUUAAUUUACACCAAAAAAUAGCUACCUUAGAAAGGUGGCAAAAAUCACUUGGUCACAUAUGUGGAUAAAACAAAAAUUUCGUCCAGUUUCUCUAUAAUCUUGCUUUAUACAUUUAAGUAGAUAACAUGGUAUACUUUUAAGAUAGUAACAGUUUUUUUAUGAUGAAUUAUAAAUUCAGAAUUAAAAUGAUGUGGUUUAGGUAAAAAGAAGAUUGACUAGAUUCAGAUCUACUCUGGGUUUAUCGUUAACUAAUUCUGCAACUUCUUAUAUAAAAUGAGUAUAGAACCAAUUGCUAAAAUAACUUCCAACUCAAACACUCUAUACCUUUUUUAUAAGAAUCAAAAAACAAAAAUUCUUCUUUCCAACUGGUGAGCUAGCCCCUACAAAAAAAAUCUAAUCUUAACACUUAUAAAGAAUUGAAAAUUACCUUUCCAUCUACUCUAAUAGCAUUUUUUAAAUGCCAUUCCUCCUCUUCUUCAUCCCAGUAUUGUUCAAAUUGUUCUUGACAGAUUUCACAACUCUAAAAUAGAAUCAUAAAAAUGAAAUUUACAGAACACAUUCAAUCAACUUAGGUAAAAACAUAUAAACAUUUUAUUAAGUGGAAGAAAACUUAAGUGUUAUCUGGAAGUUCAAUAUAUAAAUACAAAAUAAGUUCUAAGGAUUUUGCAUUCUUCCAUGCAAAAAUAGUUAACAUUUAUUUUGCUGUUGUUGGUCACUGAUAAGGAAGUCAGGGAUGACCAGAGGUAGAAAAUUUAAUAUUCUUUUCUUACCUCAACUGCUCCAGCUGGUCCAGCAGGUACACUUUGGAACUCCUUUUCUUUUGCAGCCUCCUGAGUUUUGAGCACAACUUCUUCAUGCACCUUUUCAAAAAACUGGCUCUUUGCACGUUCUUCCAAAUCAGCUAUUUCCUCAAAUUCUAUCCAGUCCUUAAAAGGAGUUGAUUUAAAAGGAAUAUUUUCAUUUGUUUCUAAACUUUUACUGCUUAUCUUCAAUAUAAUAGCAUUGAAAGAUAAGGGUACAUUUACCUAUAAUAUGCUUUAAUAUUAUUUAAAAUUAUACUUUCUCUGUGAACCCCACAACUUAGAGACAAUACAAAGCAACUACUGAACAGUUAAGUUCUUAAUGUUCAUUUUCCAUUACCUCUAGAGUUACAACUACUAAUUUAAACAAGAUAAAUUUCACAUAAAAUUUUUGACAAAAAAAAUAAUGUCAUAGGAAAUUGGAAUUUUACAGCUAGUAGAAACUUACGUCCUACUCUUAUCUCAACAAAAAGCAAAUACAUACUCUUCAAAUUUAUUUUAAAAACGUUUUAUAUUCUAGGGAUCAAAUUCUAUUUAGAAAAUUGAUGAGAUAGCUCCCAGCAAUUAUUUAAACUAUAACACUUUUUAGAAUGAUAAGAUUUAAGGGUUAAAAGAUGGUUUAGAGGUAUACUGAUUACUUACUGUUAAACUGUAGUACCAACGUCUAUGAGUGACUUUUCUGCUAACAUCUUUUUCAGUUCUGUUUUGCCGAUAAUGCCAGUCCAAGUGGUCUGCAUAUACAUCUGUCUGUGAUGUUGUAAACCUCAUUCCACAAGAGUAACACUGAAUACCAGUGUACAGUCGAUUUAUAACGCUAUCAUAACGUCUAUUUUGAAAAACAAAGAAAUCAUCUUUAGUUCUGAUAAUGUGGAAAAAUGGCCAAAAGCUGGCUGAAACAAUACCUAAGAUCAAUAUUGUUCUCUAAUAUCAUGUCACUGACCCUCUUUAAAUCAACUUUGGUGAAUUUUAGAACAUGGAGUCUAUCCUCUUAUUGAUAGGCCUGGCCCACUUAUUUCCUUUCUAGCUAAAAAUGGAAUGAUCAUCUGCUAACUAAUAAGCCAAUAGCUGGCCUGCUCUUAGAUUAGUGUCAACAUCAAGGUGGACAUGGCAGAUGGGUAUGGCAGAAUAAAUGGAUUUCACCUCUUCAGAUCUUUGGAGUUCUGAAUGACUCAACUACCCCACCCUCAUCUAAAGAAUGGUGAAAGUAGUACAAAAGAAAUAAUAGUAUACAUAACUAAAAAGAAAAAUUAGACUCAUGGUAAACUGAGGUCACCAUCAGUUCUUACAAUUCUGAGCUUCCUAUUUGGAAAGAAAUAGGUAUACAGACCAACUAACUGAAUAAAUAGGGCAGUUAUGAACUGUUAAUACUAAAUAAUGAUUUAAUAAAAAUGGUUUUAUAACUAUAUGGGGAAGAGUUGGUAGGACAGUAAAAGAGCUGGCUAAAUCUUCAUUUUCAGGAAAUCAAAAGAUUGUCUAAAUGUGAUAAAUCAAGAAAUCAAGAAAAAUAUGUAUCUUUUAAGAAAUAGAGAAAUGCAAGGAACCAUAACUAACAGUUAAAAAUGGUUUAAAAAAAGCGUCUGGGUGGGGGUAUUGGAUGGUUCAGUUAAGCAUCUGACUCUUGAUAUUGGCUCAGGUCAUCUCAGGGUUCGUUGAGAGCGAGACCCGCAUCCAGCUCUGCGCUGACAGGGUAGAGCCUGCUUGGGAUUCUCUCUCUGCCACUCCCCACUCACACUCCCUCUCUCUCUUUCAAAAUAAAUAAAUAAACUUAAAAACAAUUAUUUUUAAUGCUUCUGGGUAAAGAGUAAAGCCAGGAAAAAGGGAUACUAUCUUUUAUUAUAAGCCUUUAUUAGAAGACUUUCAUUAUAAAGCUUUAAUUCCAUGAAUUACAGUUAAAAAAAAUUGAGUUUUAAAAGGUGUAAUCCAUUAGGUGUCUAUAUUUUUAUGAAGUAUUCAUAAGGAUAUAAUAAGUCCAUAAAGCACCUUUAACUUUUUUUAUAGGAGUAAUACACACAAAUAAAAUAUUAGGAAAAAAUAUGCACCAAAUGUUAAAAGAGUGGUUAUCAGUAAAGUUGGAAUUGUAGGUUAAAUUUAUUUUCUUGAUUUAACUGAAUUUUCUAAUUUUCUUUUUUUUUCCUUAAAUUUUUUUUUUUAAGUAGGCUCCAUGCCCAACAUGGGGCUUAAACUCACAACCCUGAGAUCAAGAGUCACAUGCUCUACAGAGCAUGUAGGAAUUUUCUAACUUCCUACAAUGAAUAUGCAUUACUUAUGAAAUGAAAAUAGAUUUUUUUUAAGUUCUUAAAUACUAGACUAUAAAAAUCUCAUUUUCCUAUCUUCAAAAGCACAAGAAUAUCAAAUACAGAAAAAAUGAUUAAGAGAAAUGGAGAUAAAAGGAAUACAUGAUGAUUAAUACCUAUUAUUGUAACUCCUUAUAUUUCCUAUACCAAAUACAGAUAUUAAAAAAUUGAAAUUUGGGGAUGGUCUCUUGGCCUAAAUACUUGUGCAGCAGACAUAUUUUAAAACGAAAUUUAAAAACAUAAAGGCUUCUUGAAGUUUAUGUUAUGUAUAUUUCACUACAUUAAAGAAAAAGAAAACAUGCUUCCUAAAUUUUAUAAACACUUGAAAGAGGGGUAAAAUGAAUAGCACUAAUAAUAACAUCCACUGUUUAAUUAAAGUCAUUGUCCCAUUUAUCUUGGAAAAUUAGAAAGAAAAUUAGAUUACAUACUGUUUCAGUUCUUCAAUUGUAAAAUUGGUAAGAUCUGGAACAUCUUGAUCUUCAUUUUGAUCUUCCUCCUCUUCAGGGGCAGGCUGAGCAGCAACUUCAUUUACUUCUUCAAUUGAAAAAAAAACAAACUUCUCAAUACCGUUCUCUAAGCAUUCAUUAUAGAGGAAUACUAAAGUGUCAUAAACAUACAGAGAACCCCAUCUUGUCUAUUCACUGUAUUUACUGACCAAGGAAACAAAUACAAUUCUUUGUUUUGAUAACUGAAAUUAAGUCUGAUUUCUUAAAAGUCAAUUUUCAUGAAAUUUUAUUUCAUCAAUAUUCAAAUUAUUUUUAAAAACUAAAUCAAUAUAAAAUAACUAGUAAAAAGUCUGCACAUGGCAUUUGCACAAACGUUAAAUGAAACAAUGCCCACUAUAAAGUUACUAGUACCAUCUUAGAAAAUUUUUAAAGUAUUUCAUUAUAAGCCAAUUAUAUUUCAUUUCCAGAAAAAAAUUAAAAAUGCAAAAUUUUAAUGACUUUUAUCAUAACUUAUAACAUUACAGCAAAUCAUACAUACACCUUUAAAACUUAAUAAAGUUUUGUGUACAUGCAGUAUAGAAAAACCAUACUCACGUGUUGUAGCUGAAUCAGGCUGGGACAAUUUGAGAAUUCCUGUUUUUAGCAGUUUUGAAAAUAAUUCAUUUACAUCCACCUGACUGAGAUGAUUAUCAGGAUAUGCCUUUGGAAGGGCUCCUUUAAAAAAAUAGCACUCUUAAAAUGAAAGUAGAACUCAAAGAUGUAAAUCAUACUAUGCAUUUUUGAAAGUUUUCUUCAAGAUGCCCUAUCAAUAAUAAAUUUGGGGAAUGCAUGGGUGGCUCAGUCAGUUAAGCGUCUGACUUCAGCUCAGGUCUGGUCAGUGAGUUUGAGUCCCAUGUAAGGCUCUGUGCUGACAGCUCAGAGCCUGGAGCCUGCUUCAGAUUCUGUGUCUCCCUUUCUCCCUGCCCCUCCCCCACUCAUGCUCGCUCACGCGGCGCAUGUGCACGCUCUCUUUCUCUCUCUCUCAAAAAUAAACAUUAAAGAAAAUAAAAAAAUAAAAAUAAGUUUGAAAAAAUCUUAUUCAGGAUGAGUGUAAUUAUCACAGAAGCUCCUAAAGUGAACUUUUCAUUUAGGUCAGCAAGUCCUCAUCUCUUAAAAAUAUAUUCUAGGACAAAUAUUAAAAGUUAACACUGAAAACACUGAUACUUUAUGAAACUUUAUAAGUACUUUAUAAAUACUUUAUUGAGCAGGGAUAAACCCACGACAGGGUAUCAUGACCUGAGCCAGAAUCAAAAGUCGGACGCUUAACCGACUAAGCCACCCAGGCGCCCCAAUUACUAUUCUUUAAAUCAACUGUAAACACAGUAUUUUAAUGUAUUUGUAUGUCACUAUUAUCUAUUAUGCAUCUCACUAUACCUCUAGAAAAAAGUUCUGAACUACUAAAAAUUUCUCUUCAUGACAGGAAAUUCAGUUUGCAUCCACAAUAUACAUAAUCCCUGCUCUUAACCACUGCAUACUGUACCCUUAGCACAGUCCGUUGUACACUGCGGGCUAAUUAAUAUUUGUUGAAAUGUCUGAAUACAUGAAUGAAUAAAUUAACCUCAACAGUCAAUUACAACACCAUUUCACACCCUAGUUUAACAUUUACAUUUCACUGGGAUUAGCUAUUUAUGUUUCAGAGUUGUAACCAGCUAUUCACAAGCCUGUGAGCAGCUGAGUUGAGUGAUCAAGGGCAUGAACUAUGGAAACAGACUCCUGGGAUUCUAACUGGAAAUCCCAUUUUCUAGUUGUGUGACAUAACCAAGUUGCAUAUCUGUGCCUCAGUUUUAUAGGUAAAGAAGAGUCAUCCUAGAACAAUACCUAGCAUACAGCAAAUGAUCAAUAUGUUUAAAUAUUUACUACUAGGAGGUGUUUUUACUUUCAUUUUCAAGAAGAAACCUUAAGAGAAGCUGAAUAUAGAACACUGGAUGCUUUUCACACCUCUUUAGUAGGAGUGAGCAGAACCUGAAGUAAGGCAUACUUAACAUCUCACUCAAUUCCUCCAACCUACAGGAAAAAGAUGUGAUUUCCUCUGUGACAUUGCUAUGCCCUGUGUGUAUACACAUGCACCCCAAGGUUGUAAAAACAAAAAGAAAAUUUGCAGUUUUUGCACACUAUCUCGUGCUACUCACCCCAACAUAACAAAUCCUCUACUCAACAAAAAAAACACUGAGUUCUAAAAAGAAUACGUUAAUACAGCACAUGUUAUGAAGCACUUUUGCAUAUACUACCUUAUUUGACUCUUAAAAAACAAACUUCCCAAGCAAAUACUGACUUUAUUGUCUGUCAAGAGGAAGCAACUGAAUCCCUGAGAGGAUAUUUGCUUAUACCCUGCCUACCUAUAAAGUAGUAAAGUAUAGCUUCUAACACUGGUCUUCUGACUUUACAUCCCAGUUCUUUCUUCCCUUUUCAAUACGGUGACAACAAAAACACAUUUAAAAAUAUUAGGUAAAUUAGGUAAAUAUUAAUUUACCCUAAUUGUCAAUCUAGGAACUAAAAACACAAGUGUUUUUCAAAUUAAUUACAUGAAAUACUUGUGAUGAUAUAAUUUAAGAACUAAAGCAUAAACUAGAACUUGACUGACUAGGCUUUCCCUAGUUACUUCAGAAGUUUUGGAAAACUCCCUAAAUUUGUAAACUAAAUAGUGCCACGCUACAGCAUGUUUCUGAAAGUGCCUAUUUUAAUGAUUAAAAAAAUAAAGCAAGUACCACUACAAUUUGGUUGGGCUAGUUCUCAAUACACUAAAGCUUUGCAGUUAUUUUAUAAAAUACCAUAAUUUAUAUACUUCCCAUUGUUUUCAAAUUAAAUUUAAAAUUCACUUUUUUUUUUUCCGUUUAUUUUGAGGAGAGAGAGAGAGAAAGAAAGAGCGAGAGAACAAGCAGGAGAGGGGCAGAGGGAGAUGGAGAGGUAGAGAAUCCCAAGCAGGCUCUGCAGCAUGGAGCCUGAUGGAGUGCUCAAACUCAUGACCUGAGCCAAAAUCAAGAGUCAGAUGCUUAACUAAGACACCCAGGCACCCCAAAACUAAAAAUCGCUUUUAAAGCUCUCAUACCCAAUACAGUUACUGUAUCCAUAACAAGACUGUUAUGCCUCAUCUCACAGUAACAAAAGAGCUUCUCAGGGGACCUGGCUAGGGACUCAGGUUUUUCUUUUUUGUUUUUUUUAAGAAGGCUCUACACCCAACCCAGGGCUUGAACUCACAACCCCAAGAUCAAGGGUCACAUGCUCUACCAACUAAACCAGCCAGGCACCCUAUUUCUACUUUUUUAACAUGUUGUGUACAAUUAUUAUUUGAGUGCCCAUAAAGACAUAUGAAUGAAUCAACUUUAUAAAGCAAAGUCCCUAGUAUUCACUUCGUGUUUGCUGGAUCAUCACAUAUACACAAAACAAAAACUCAAAAUAUCAAAUAACUGAGAUUUCUGAGGUUUGUCAUUUAUUUCAUUUUACCUCAACACAAACAUCACCCUUUACUCCACCCUCCACAGGUUUCUUUCUUUUUUAUGGUCUACAAAACCCUGGCUGACCAUGUCUAGCUAUAAACAGGAUCCAAGUGAAUACACAUAAACAGUGGAAACAAACUCAAAAAGGGAACACAAAUUUCUAGCCAGAUUAAAUUUCUCUAAACUGCAUAUCCCCUCUCAAAAUUGUCAUUUCCUAAAACUGACAAAAAUAGCUACUCAACAAAACAGUAUUUGUUUUUUGAAAAAACGCUAAGUUCAGAAAGUACAUACCUGAAGGAUUCUGAACAAAUGCUCCAGGAUUUUGUGGAUGAACUGGUAAAAAUUGUUGUCCUUGGCCAAAUGCUACUGGCUGAGCAACACCAGUAAGAACCUUUAAGAGAAACCUUGGUUUUAAAAAAGAACAUCCUUUCUGUAUUUUAACUAAAACUUUAACAUUCUGAUCAUAUAAAAAUACCGACAGAUAUCAUAAGGUCUGGUUUCUACAAUAAAAAUGUACAAGUGUAACUUAACUGGAUCACUUCAUUUCUAGACUUUCUACAAAAAUGAAACAAUACUCCCUUACCUGUUUCAUGGGUUAUAAGAUAUAUGAGAAGUUUAAGAUACCAUGCAAACAUAAGAUAGCCAACAGUCUGUGUGACCUUACACAAAUCACUUUACCUUGUUGAUCCUUUCCCUUAUUUUACAAAUAGAACUGAUAUCUAGAGAUAGGACCUGUACACAAUCAUAAUGACUAGCUGUCAGCAAAGCUGAGGCCAGAACUGCUGACCAGACUCCUUCCCACAGAUAUGAAAAGCCUGCUUUAAUCAGCAAUCUCUUAACUCUUUUUUGAUCAUCCUGCUUGAACAUCAUACUUUGGGUUGCAAAGUAGACUGUAAAAGACAAACAACUACUGUACAGACUGCUUGCUAUCAAUAAUGCUUAUAACACAUUUUAAAAUCUUUUUGUUUUACAUUUUCUUCCAUGAGACAUUACUACUAUAAAAUGAAUCUGUCCUAGUAAGAAAAUGUCAGUGCCUAGAAAAAAAGUGAAUUUAGCCCAGGAGAAUUUCAGCAGGCAAGCAAAGUAGUCAUUAAUCACACAAUGUAAGCACACUGCUUUAUAAUUAUUUCAAUAUGCAUUUUAAAAUAUAUGCAGAACAAAAGCAAAAGAAUACCAACAGAUGAUUGUGCAAGUUGAGGUGAUGCACUGAAUGUAUUUGGGAGACAUGUCACAAGUUUCCUGUGUUUACAUUAAUAUCACACAACUGUAUUCAACUGGAAUCACUGGAAAGGUGGUGAAAAGUAGGAAGAAAAGAAAAAGAAAGGCUGUAAAAGCAUGAGCAGUUUGAUUUUAUUUAACUCAGGUUAAGGAAGUUCUUAAAAGUCUAAAAAUCCAGCUCCCUAUAACUUUAAGGGACUCCACAGUUCUACAAUGUAGCACGAGUCUAUGAAACAAACUCACAAUUGUGUAAUACUCUACUACCUUUGAAACCAAAAAGGAAAAAACAUAAUGGGGAGGCUAUGCAUGUGUAAGGGGUAAUAUGGGAAAUCUCUGUAUUUCACAGCUCAACUUUGCUGUGAACCUAAAACUAUUCUAAAACAAUAAAGUCCAUUAAAAAACAAACACUGUGUGUGUGUGUGUGUGUGUGUGUGUGUGUGUGUGUGUGUGAUAGAGAGAGACAGAGACAGAGACAGAGACAGAGACAGAGAGAUUUCUACAGAUCCUGGGAGAGCUAAAAUCACUUUUGGAUUUAAAUUGCAAAUUUAAGGCUCAAGACUCUCAUCCCACUUGCCUAGCAUGUGGACUUUUGGAGUACCUUACAAACUGUCAAUCUACAGAAUAAAUUAUCUCCUAAAAAUCUUCAAACCCUAGAAACAUUAAAAUGGUCCACAUCUGCAAAGAACAUCAUUUUAGAGUAACUACAACAGACUUACCUGUUGAGACGCCUGAAUAUUUCCUACUGUUAUUGGAGCAGGUAAAUUGCCAAAGUUUCCAAAUUGGGAACUCUGGAGAUUCUUUUCAUCAAAAUAGUGUCCAGAAGCUCUGUUAAGGGGAUUCGAGAAACUCUGGUUUCCAGGGCCAUGUGGUCCAUUAAAAUUUGGUCCUUGAGGUGAAUCAAACAUUUGUUCAUGUCUUUGGAACUGUAGUCCUUGGGAUGGGGCAUUAAAAGCAUUGCCAGGUGGAUCAUUAUAUGGACCAGACUGAUUGAAAGAUACUGAUUCAAGCCUUUGUGAAGGAUGAUUGUCAAAUCGUGUGCUUUGAAGACCAAGAGGAAUAUCAAACCUUGAUGCUUGCUGGUGUUGUGGGCCAUCAAAUCUUUGAGGUACACCAUCAAAUCUUGGUUGAACCUGCUGUCCAGGUGGUCCAUCAAAUCUCUGUGGGCCUGGCUGACCAGUUCUUUCAAAUCUAGGACCUGGCUGCCCAUGUAAUCCAUCAAAUCUUGGCAAGAGUGAUGGCUGACCUGGCUGCCCAUCAAACCUUAAAGCAUGACAACCUUCAAAUCUUGGACCACCUUGACCUAGAGGCCCUUCAAUUCUCAGGCCACCUCCUGGUACAGAAGGACCCUCAAACCUCAUUCCACCUCCUUGUUGGACUAACGGUCCUUCAAACCUGAUCCCAACCCCUGGCUGACCAUGUGGACCCUCAAACCUAAGGUUCCCACCAAGUUGAUUAUGUUGUCCUUCAAACCUCAAACCAGCUACUGACUGACCAUGGGGACCCUCAAACCUCAUUCCAACUCCCUGCUGUAGCAAAGGGCCCUCAAAUCUGAUCCCACCUGCUGGCUGACCAUGAGGUCCAUCAAACCUAAUUGCAGCCCCUGAUGGACCAUGACCCCCUUCAAAUCUAAGUCCACCUACAGGCUGACCUCGGGGAUUAUCAAAUCUAAGUCCACCCACAGGCUGACCAUGAGGUCCCUCAAACCGUAGACCACCCACAGGUUGACCCCGAUGUCCCUCAAACCUGAGACCACCCACAGGCUGGCCCCCUGGUCCCUCAAAUCGCAAACCACCUGCAGAUCCCUCAAACCUCAGACCAGGUGAACCUUCAAACCGAAAACCACCUCCUCCUGCCUGACCAAUCGGCCCCUCAAACCGCAGAGGCGUCCCUACUGGUCCUGGAGGACCUUCAAAUCUCAAAGGACACCCACCUCCUAGCUGACCUUGUGGUCCUUCAAAUCUCAAAGGGCCACCUCCCCCCAUUUGUCCUGGUGACCCAUCAAACCGAAGAGAACCUGGUGUAGGAGGUCCAUCAAUUCUAGGGCUUAAUUUAUUAGGUCCUUCAAAAAUCAUCUUGGUUGGGCCAUCUCUUGUUACUGAUGGCCUACUAGGUCCGUCAAAUAAUGGUCUGUCUUCAGCUAAAGCUGUAAGUCGCUGAUUUGUAUCAAGGCCGGCAAAUCUUGAUGCUGGGCUAUCUACAAAUGGUUUAUCUGAAUCUUCAUAUCUAGGUCGCUUAAGUGGAAAACGAUCAUUGAAUGGUGACCUCUGCUCUUCUCGUACACCUUUUAAAAAGAAAAAGAUGUUAUUUUCCCUGAAUCUGAAUUUUUAUUAAAUUAUCUUAAAUCUUUUUAUUUUCAUGUAAAUGUUUAGCCAAAAAUAUCCAAAACUAUCUCACUUUAUUAGAGGGGAAGGAAAAGACAGCAUAUCAAGCAGCAAGAAAGAGGAUGCCCUCUACAGUCAGACACACCUGGGUUUAAAAAAAAAAAAAAAUCCCCAUUUUGUCAACUAAUUAUUUGACUUUGAGAGCAAGUUAUUUAACCUCUCUGGUCUUGCUUCCUAUCUGUAAAAUGGGAUAAAAUAUAUUUAAUUGGGUUAUUGUGAGGAUUAAAUCAGAUUACAUAUAUAAAGAACCUAAGUCAAGUACCUAACACAUAGGGUGGCCUUAAGUAUUAGCUCCCUUCCCUUCCCUUUGAGGGGAAAAAAAAUGAAACAAAAUAAACAAAAGGUAGUCUGAAUAGUCACAGAAAUCCAUCCCCACUUAGCUUGUUCAUUUUCCCUUCACUGCUGAUUCAAUAGGCAUAAUCUGAUUUAACUUUUUCUACCUUUAGCAGAGACUUGCUCGUCAUGUCUUCUCCGGCCCUCAUGGGGUGAAAGAUUCUCAGCAUAAGUACGACUCCCAGAUAUAGGAGAAAGACGUCUUGCUCUUUCACUAAAUUGUUCUUUUCUGUCAAACUGUGCUCCACUAUUCCUACUUGCAUGUUUACUUUUGGAUGGCUCACAUUCUAUUCCAGACAACAAGGCAUCGGUCAAAGGGUAGUCAAAAAUAUCAGGAUCUAAGAGAUCAAGUCUUGGAAAUGAAUGCUGAACCUGUGUCCUUUUCAGUUUUGCUUUAUGUUCAUAGUAGGUUAAUUCAGCAUCAGAUAAGAGAGGUUUCUUUUUUAAUCCACCUUUAUUUUCUUCUGUAGGACUAUCCCGUACAUUGCAUCUAUGUUUACCUUCUUGAUACUGAAAUAGCUGUCGAAUUUGAUGCACAACAACAAGGAACUCAUCCUGUGUAAUUUCACCAGAUGCUAAACGUUCACUCGUCUGUGUAGGGGUGAUAAAAGGAAAUCAAAUAUUUUAAGGAUAAAAAGCACUUACAAAAAAACUUAGACAAAAGAGAAUAAUGACUACAUGUGGUCAUAGUAACUACCUUUUGAAGUAAUUCUCUUUUGCUUGCAAGAGUUAACUCUUUAGGAAUCUGAAGAUUGGCAUCUACACUUAAUCGAUGCUGCUGCUUUGGGGUUCGAGGUGACAAGAUUCCUUUAGUGCUUGACCAGCUCUCCCUAUGCCUUAGAUGAGGAGAUUUACUAUGUUCAUCACCCUGUUGUAAGCUGAAACCACAAAAACAUGUUACUUCAUGAAAAUUUUUUCAAUUACUCAGGACCAUAUUCCAAAGGAUCUGGUAAAAAUGAAUACAUGUAACUACAAAAGUUAACUAAAUGAUUAAGAGCACAAGGUCUGAAGUCAGGAAAAUCAGACAUGAAUUCUACUUCUUGCAUGUCCUAGACGUGCAGCUUUAGGUAGACUAGUUAACCUUUCUAAACUUGUUUCCUUAUCUGUAAAAUAGGAAUACUAAUGGUAUUUCACCCAGUUACUGAAAAAUAAAAGGAAAAAUAAAGCACUAAUUACAGCAUCCAAUAAAUAUUACCCAAUUUUAAAAUUAAGACUGUCUUUAAAACAUACGUUAUUUUACUUAAUUAAAAACGUUAACAUCCUACCUUUUAUUUUCUUCCCAACCAGAUUUCCAUCUUUUGGUAGACUUGGAACUUUGCCAAUUUUCUAUAUUCUCCUUUGGUUCAGUGCCGGAUUUUGUAGAAUGCUGAUUCGCAGCUUCUUGUGGUCGUUCCUCUUCAGUCUUUUUUAUUCGCCUCGGAUCUCGAAUAUCUUGUUUAUUACUCCUUUUAGCAUUUCGCUCUUCCCUGGAAGGUAGCGUAAACUCUUCCAUAUGUGAUUGCUUGACUCCUGAUUGGCGAAUCUUUCCAGCUUUGGGUGUGGAACUUGGAGACAUACUCCUCUGCCUUCGUUUGGGUGACCGCCUAUCUCUUCUCUUUGGAGAAUGUAUAAUUGGUGAUCGAGACUUGGGUGAUCGUGAUCUUGACCGCUUUCUAGUACUUGAUCUCCCUGGUUUUGUCCCUUGUUUUUCUGAUUCUUCCGUUAUUGUAUCCUGCUUUUGUACGAUGCCAUUGAUGAUUUUAUUUCGACUUCCAACGAGUCGGUGUUCAGAUGAUUUCAUGUGCUCAUCUUUGUCCUUUUUUUCUGCAGUUUUUCUCUUGUCUUUUACAUCAUCAUCUUUGCUAUCAGUCUUAUCCUGAAGAUGUUUUUUUAACCUAGGAUCUCUCUUGCUCAUAUCCGACACCCUUGCACUUUCGGAUUCUUGAUUUUUCAAGUCUUUUGUGUGGGAUAAUUUGUUUUUCAAAGGUGAUGGUGAUUUAGAUUUAGAUUUAGAUUUAGAAUCUAAUUGGUCAAGUUCUUUCUUGGUUAUUUUUUCACCUGAUUUGCUUUUCUCUUGCUUGGAUGAAUUUAGUUUUUCAGAGGGUACAGUUUUACUUGUCUUAAUAUCAGAUUGGUUCAAUGUGUUCAUUAGGAAUUCUUUCCUGUGACUCUGAUCUUUUCCAUGCGAAGAAUGUUGACUCAUCCUAUUAAGACGGGGAUCCCGAUUAGUUCCUUUCAAAUCCUGAAUUUGUAAGGAUGGACCUGGACGGCUUUUCUCUGGUUGCACAGGAACUUGAUGGGGAGGUUUAACAGCCAAAGGGGGAAUUUGUGGAACAUGUAAUUUGGAUGGUGCAGAUCCAGGACCUAAGUUGGAUGUCUCCUGCUGAACGCUAAGAGAAACUGCCUGAAAUACAAAAUAAACGUUUAUGUUAAUACAUAAAACAUGCAGAUUAUCUGUCAGGAAAACAAAAAAUAAAGAAUGUAAUGUUUUUUCAAUAAAUCCAUUCAAUACUACAGUUACACUGUAUACUUCUAGUGUUUAAGUGGAGAUUAAAAUGAAGAGAGAAAGUUCAUGUACUUAUGGGGCUUGUUAUUUCUUACUAGUCCUUUACUUUUGGGUUUUUGUAAUGUAAUCUUUAAGAGAACGAAAAAAACACCCUCCCUCUUCCUAAUUAUGCAGGAUUCUGAGCCAGACUGCUACUAAGAAAUUACCAAAUAAAUCACUGCACCCUAGGUGCACAAGAAUCAGAGUCAUUCCAGCUAAAUUUUAGGUCAUAAAAUUUAGUUCCUCCUAAUGUCACAUAAUGAACUUGAUAAAAUCUUGCCUUCCUGCACUUCCUCACUCUCAAAUUCAAGUGCUAAGUAAAAUAACUUAGUAAAAGGUCAUUCAUGCAUGGAAGUAGGUAAUCUUCCUGGCCUCCUUAAUUUUGUGAUGGCUUUUCUUUCAUAGGCUUUAGGAACUGGAUUUCUACUCCUGAAACCUAAGCUCAUAAAACAUUAAAGACUACGCAAAAACAUUCACAACAACACACCUAACCAUCUUGGGACAGGUCUUAAGUCCACUUGAUAUAAUGUUAAUUAAACUAAGGUGUUAUCUUAAAAGAUAGCAAUUUAACAGAAAAAAGUACUUGAAAGAAACUAGUGUAUAGUUUAUACUCAAGUGACUUUUACAAUAAGGAAAUAAAAAUUUGGUGUAAUAAAGGUACCAUAAUUUACAAAAUAAAUGUGGAAAAAGAAUACACUCACUAAUAAAAAUAACAUGCUAAUACAAUUCAAAUACAAAAUAAUUACUUCUCUAUCUGAAGACAGGUUUAAAAUAUUUAAAAUGCCAAAGCUCCUCUACUUACCAGUUGUGCCUUAGCUUGCUCUAGCUCAAGCUCCAGCUUUUUCUGCUGAAGUUCUAACAACUGUUUUUGUUUUGCCAGUAACUGCUGCCUUAUUAGUUGUUCUUGAGUAAGAUUCUUCUGUAUAUCAGGAACAAUUGGAGGAGUGGAGAUGCUAGGGGAACUGACCACUGUGCCAGGUGUUGAAGGCUCUUCGGGCUAUAAGAGAAAAUAAUGUGUUAAAAAUAUAUAUUUCACG